RNAcentral lists this transfer RNA (68 nucleotides) under Nesoptilotis leucotis (White-eared honeyeater). RNAcentral's name for it is "tRNA-Phe". It matches the Rfam family "tRNA". Rfam says of the family: Transfer RNA (tRNA) molecules are approximately 80 nucleotides in length. Their secondary structure includes four short double-helical elements and three loops (D, anti-codon, and T loops). Lineage: Eukaryota; Metazoa; Chordata; Aves; Passeriformes; Meliphagidae. The record is from RNAcentral.
GUCCUCGUAGCUUAAGCAAAGCAUGACGCUGAAGACGUCAAGACGGCUGCUAAACACACCCGAGGACA